Non-coding RNA from Tribolium castaneum (red flour beetle), 158 nucleotides. RefSeq annotates it as microRNA mir-2796. Lineage: Eukaryota; Metazoa; Arthropoda; Insecta; Coleoptera; Tenebrionidae. The record is from RefSeq and is marked provisional. The transcript has a single exon.
AUCGAGCUUUCGGUGCAGAAGCCGCUAUUAACGUGGUGACGCAAGAGUAGGGGUUUCUUUCGGCCUCCAGCGGAUAAUAAAGAGUUGUAGGCCGGCGGAAACUACUUGCUUUUACGUUGCAUUACCUUCGCUGCGGCUUCCCGUCAAUGAUGCGUUUU